This 1329-nucleotide ribosomal RNA is filed under the name Escherichia coli. RNAcentral's name for it is "partial 23S ribosomal RNA". It matches the Rfam family "Bacterial large subunit ribosomal RNA", at positions 1 to 1369 of the family's 2925-position model. The record is from RNAcentral. RNAcentral also lists the same sequence under 1 other name. Lineage: Bacteria; Pseudomonadati; Pseudomonadota; Gammaproteobacteria; Enterobacterales; Enterobacteriaceae.
GGUUAAGCGACUAAGCGUACACGGUGGAUGCCCUGGCAGUCAGAGGCGAUGAAGGACGUGCUAAUCUGCGAUAAGCGUCGGUAAGGUGAUAUGAACCGUUAUAACCGGCGAUUUCCGAAUGGGGAAACCCAGUGUGAUUCGUCACACUAUCAUUAACUGAAUCCAUAGGUUAAUGAGGCGAACCGGGGGAACUGAAACAUCUAAGUACCCCGAGGAAAAGAAAUCAACCGAGAUUCCCCCAGUAGCGGCGAGCGAACGGGGAGCAGCCCAGAGCCUGAAUCAGUGUGUGUGUUAGUGGAAGCGUCUGGAAAGGCGUGCGAUACAGGGUGACAGCCCCGUACACAAAAAUGCACAUACUGUGAGCUCGAUGAGUAGGGCGGGACACGUGGUAUCCUGUCUGAAUAUGGGGGGACCAUCCUCCAAGGCUAAAUACUCCUGACUGACCGAUAGUGAACCAGUACCGUGAGGGAAAGGCGAAAAGAACCCCGGCGAGGGGAGUGAAAAAGAACCUGAAACCGUGUACGUACAAGCAGUGGGAGCACGCUUAGGCGUGUGACUGCGUACCUUUUGUAUAAUGGGUCAGCGACUUAUAUUCUGUAGCAAGGUUAACCGAAUAGGGGAGCCGAAGGGAAACCGAGUCUUAACUGGGCGUUAAGUUGCAGGGUAUAGACCCGAAACCCGGUGAUCUAGCCAUGGGCAGGUUGAAGGUUGGGUAACACUAACUGGAGGACCGAACCGACUAAUGUUGAAAAAUUAGCGGAUGACUUGUGGCUGGGGGUGAAAGGCCAAUCAAACCGGGAGAUAGCUGGUUCUCCCCGAAAGCUAUUUAGGUAGCGCCUCGUGAAUUCAUCUCCGGGGGUAGAGCACUGUUUCGGCAAGGGGGUCAUCCCGACUUACCAACCCGAUGCAAACUGCGAAUACCGGAGAAUGUUAUCACGGGAGACACACGGCGGGUGCUAACGUCCGUCGUGAAGAGGGAAACAACCCAGACCGCCAGCUAAGGUCCCAAAGUCAUGGUUAAGUGGGAAACGAUGUGGGAAGGCCCAGACAGCCAGGAUGUUGGCUUAGAAGCAGCCAUCAUUUAAAGAAAGCGUAAUAGCUCACUGGUCGAGUCGGCCUGCGCGGAAGAUGUAACGGGGCUAAACCAUGCACCGAAGCUGCGGCAGCGACGCUUAUGCGUUGUUGGGUAGGGGAGCGUUCUGUAAGCCUGUGAAGGUGUGCUGUGAGGUAUGCUGGAGGUAUCAGAAGUGCGAAUGCUGACAUAAGUAACGAUAAAGCGGGUGAAAAGCCCGCUCGCCGGAAGACCAAGGGUUCCUGUCCAACGUUAAU